RNAcentral lists this ribosomal RNA (261 nucleotides) under uncultured bacterium. RNAcentral describes it as "partial 16S ribosomal RNA". It matches the Rfam family "Bacterial small subunit ribosomal RNA", at positions 97 to 354 of the family's 1533-position model. The record is from RNAcentral.
GGCGGACGGGUGAGGUAACGCGUGGGGAACCUGCCCUGUACCGGGGGAUAGCAGCCGGAAACGGCUGAUAAUACCGCAUAAGCGCACGAAUGUCGCAUGACAUGGUGUGAAAAACUCCGGUGGUAUAGGAUGGACCCGCGUCUGAUUAGCCGGUUGGUGGGGUAAAAGCCUACCAAAGCGAAGAUCAGUAGCCGAGUUGAGAGACUGACCGGCCACAUUGGGACUGAGACACGGCCCAGACUCCUACGGGAGGCAGCAGAG